AAAAAAAAAAGGCAAUUCCAAAAUGACUAGAGUAGAGUGAAUAGGCUAGACUAAAUACAUAUAUCACAUCAUAAUGCAAUAAGACCAGAGUGAAUAGGCUACACAAAUUCCACUUUACGUUUAUUGCACUCUGCUAUACAAAAACUUCUUACUUUCAAAUGAUCCCCACCGUGGACUUUAUUAAAAUGGAAUACUAUGUCAGUUAUAUAAAAAAACUCAUAUUAAUCUCCAAAGAAGGGGAGGAAAAAAAAAAGUAAGCUCCUAGUAAAUUUUAUUUUUUCAAAGAAAGAAAGGCAAAUUAAUAUGAUUGACACAAGGACAAAGAAAAUGGGAUCAAUGUAUCUAGAAGGUAAGGUAAUGAAAGGUAAGGUAUCAAAACCUCUCAACCCACAAAAUUGUUGAGUUGAAAAAUGAGGGUUUUGGAGGUUUUGAACCCCCCCAAAAACCUACCUUAAAAACCUUCCUCCCAAACAAAUCUAUUAUUUCACAAACUCAUAACUUACAUUCAAAAGCUUCCUCCCAAACAUAGUGUAAAAAAGAUGCCUAUAGCAAUUAAAAUAUUAAAACAAUCAACAACCUAAUAAACGUAAAGGAUGAACCAGUGCAC
This 607-nucleotide unclassified non-coding RNA is filed under the name Hevea brasiliensis (rubber tree). The record is from RNAcentral. Lineage: Eukaryota; Viridiplantae; Streptophyta; Magnoliopsida; Malpighiales; Euphorbiaceae.